CGCCGAUGGGGGCAACCCCGCCGGUGAUUUAGCAGAAGUCAGCAGGCGGCAUAGCAGCCAAACGCCCAUCGGGAUGGUUGGGACAGGGUGAAGGCC
This 96-nucleotide non-coding RNA is filed under the name Marinobacter sp. LV10R510-11A. Lineage: Bacteria; Pseudomonadati; Pseudomonadota; Gammaproteobacteria; Pseudomonadales; Marinobacteraceae. The record is from RNAcentral.